UACGAAGGGGGCAAAUGUUGUUCGGAAUCACUGGGCGUAAAGGGAGCGUAGGCGGGCUUUUAAGUCAGGUGUUUAAUCCCGGGGCCCAACCCCGGACAGGCACUUGAAACUGGGAAUCUUGAAUAGUGGAGAGGUCAGUGGAAUUGGGGGUGUAGCGGUGGAAUGCGUAGAGAUCCCCAAGAACACCCGUUGCGAAGGCGGCUGACUGGACACAUAUUGACGCUGAGGCUCGAAAGCAUGGGGAGCAAACAGG
RNAcentral lists this ribosomal RNA (253 nucleotides) under uncultured bacterium. RNAcentral describes it as "partial 16S ribosomal RNA". It matches the Rfam family "Bacterial small subunit ribosomal RNA", at positions 524 to 776 of the family's 1533-position model. The record is from RNAcentral.